RNAcentral lists this long non-coding RNA (963 nucleotides) under Phasianus colchicus (ring-necked pheasant). RNAcentral's name for it is "lncRNA (ENSPCLG00000015986.1)". The record is from RNAcentral. Lineage: Eukaryota; Metazoa; Chordata; Aves; Galliformes; Phasianidae.
UGAUCCCAUUACGGGUUCUCGAUCCCAUUAUUGGGUUCCUGAUCCCACUAUUGGCUUCCCGAUCCCAUUAUGGCUUCCUGAUCCCAUUAUGGCUUCCCGAUCCCACUAUUGGGUUCCCAAUCCCAUUAUUGGGUUCCCAAUCCCAUUAUUGUGUUCCUGAUCCCAUUACGGGAUCCCGAUCCCAUUAUUGGGUUCCUGAUCCCAUUAUUGGGUUCCUGAUCCUACUGUGGGCUCCCAAUCCCACUAUUGGGUUCCUGAUCCCAUUAUGGGUUCCUGACCCCAUUAUGGCUUCCUGAUCCCACUAUUGGGUUCCCGAUCCCAUUGUUGGGUUCCCAAUCCCAUUAUUGGGUUCCCGAUCCCAUUAUGGGUUCCCGAUCCCAUUAUGGCUUCCUGAUCCCACUAUUGGCUUCCUGAUCCCACUAUUGGCUUCCUGAUCCCAUUAUUGGCUUCCUGAUCCCACUAUUGGCUUCCUGAUCCCAUUAUGGGUUCCCAGUCCCACUCUUGGGUUCCCAAUCCCAUUAUCGCUUUCCCGAUCCCAUUCUGGGUUCCCCGACCCCACUGUUGUUCCCACCCCAUAGCGCCGCCCCCUCUCUCCCCAUUUUGGGGCAUUUGGGGUCGCUGACCCCAUAAAAUCCCCCUUAGGUUUAAGGUUUUCGCCGACUACGAAGCGUACGUGAAAUGCCAGGAGCGCGUCAGCGAGCUGUACAAGGACUCCCGACAGUGGACCCGCACGGUGAUCCGGAACAUCGCGGCGGCCGGGAAAUUCUCCAGCGACCGAACUAUCGCUCAAUACGCCCGCGAGAUCUGGGGCACGGAGCCCACCCGCCACCGCAUCCCCGCCCCCGACGAGCCCCGCCACUGACCGCCCCACAGCGCCCCAUAGCGCCCCAUAGCGCCCUACGGAGCCACGUGUCACCCCAUAGCGCCCCAUGUCUCCCCACAGCGCCUCCUGUCACCCCAUAG